UCCUGGGCCCGAACCGGACCACGCCGCCGCCCGCAGCUCCCUCUCGCGCAAGCUCCCCUCGCGCCCGCAAGCCGCCUCGCCGGCGACCCCACACCUUUGCCACGCCCCGCCGCCGGCGACCUUCCCCGCUGGAUCUUCGGUCGCUCCGCCACCUCGCCCCUCUCCUUUCCUCCUUCUUCUCGAUCUCCUCUCACCUCUCUUCCUCUUUCUCACUGGACAGGACAUCCAUGGCGCCGCUGGACCUCAAUCUCGCUGGAUCUGGCCGCCUCCACGCCAAAUCCGCCGGAAAUGGAUCCACCCCGGCCAGAUCCGCUCGGAUCCACCGGGCCCCGCCGUCGUCGCCACCGGAGCGCCGCCCCGCUCGACCUGCAGCGCCACCUUCCAUCGGUAGCCCCCAGUCUCGGUCGCCACGCGAUCAUGCGGAUGAUGCUCGGCGUGUCACUGUAAUUGCCGGCUACUGCCGCUCCCUGCCCCUGUUCAAUUAAGCCAACGCUUGAAAUUUUGGUUCAGAAUGAUCUGCUCUUCAAUCCUUGCUGAUUUGUGGUUUUGAGACCCACCCAAGCAGGGUCUGCGGUCAUGAGGAGAACCUGCUAUUCCUGGAGGCCUGGCAGAUAGUCGAUCCCGCUACUACCACAAGUCCGCUUUGUGACGAGCUGGUCAACACACGGGAGGAGACAUAUAUGAUUCCACUUGCGCAAAGUCUGCCUGUACUGCUAUCCAUAUUGCCCCAUAGCAAUACAAUUUAUCUACUGCCUCAAUAGCUCACUUCUGCAAGUCAUAACAUGCCACUUAAUAUUUUAGAAAGUACAACCGAGUUUAAUAAGUGGAUCAAAUGCAGUUGUCAUGCACCUCCUUGGUUGAAUCCGAAUUCUGUUAGAAACAUGGCAAACCACCUAAAUAUGCCAUUGAUCUGUACAAAACUGAGAGAUUUUGUGUUUUUAUAGUUCUUUUGUGCUCUAACCGAAUUUGAUUAUCUGACAUUUUUUCAGAUGUUGCAACCUUGGGCGAUCGGUUCUUUGGAUUCUUGAAACCAAUGCCUUUUCUGAAGUAAGUUUGGCAUGCAAGGUGCCCUCACGGUUUAUUUUCAAGAUGGCGCUGGGGUCUCGGGGACGUGCCGGAAGGCGUCGCGUUCCUGCACCUUGGGGAUGGCUUUGGGUCGAAUUCUCCUCCAUGCAAUCUUGUGCUCCUUUGGGUGUUUCUAAUCUUUCUGCCUUCUAGUGUAAAUAGAGGUAUGGUGCCUAGAGUUCAACUAUUUAUCCUAUGUAGUAUAAUUGACAUUUAAGUUAUACAACCUUUCUAGAUUUCUCAAUAUCAUGCCUAGAGCUUAUAAUCCUUUCUUUGAAGAUCCAUAGCCAGACUUUGAAACUGUUGCACAUACAUAAAUUAAACUAGCUGCCUGUAGUACGAGUAUUAUAUAGAUUUGUAUGUAUGUGGUUACUUUGUUCUAUGGCAAAAGGGUUCAAGGCUAGCAUUUUUUUAAAUAUAGCACAUUCAUAUAAAUUUUCUUGCAAUUCUAACUAUGAAAUCCACAUUCAUUCAGUAGUUUUUAUGUAACAAUAUAAAUGAUCUUUCAGUCACAAUGCCAGUAUUUAGAACUAAAUCUGAUGGGCCUAAAUUCCCCUUGGACCCCCACCCCCUCCUUAUAUUCCUAUAUCUCCAAUCUCCUUUCUCCACCGGCUAUCAGAGAAUAGAGAUCACAUUAUGAAUUUGUUUUUUGUCAGAGAUGUUCUCCCAUCGCUAUUAGCUGUCAAAUUUGCGAUGCAAUCCGUCCCUAUGUCGGCACAAUCAGCAGAACAAAGCAGCUAUCAUGAUUUGCCCAUUGAUCUCUUGGAGUGAUUCAAACGUGCAAGCACCAGGGUAAUGACUCAUGCUCUACUAUGUCAGAUUGAGUGACUUCUGCAUAUGAUGACUGAAGAAUUUUUCAUCAAUUUUCCAACCUGAAUUAGCUACAGAAUUUGGGAAAAGAGGAGUCCAGGCUCUGAUGAACACACCGUCUUUCCUAGAAACCACUUCAACUAGCCCAGGACUGUGUCUAUUAGUCCUCCAGUAUUUGUUGAGAUGAGAUAACACAUUGUAUGACAGGUAACAAGCAACUGAAGCAAGAAGAUUUUUUAAAUUUCUUGGAAAGUAUAACCAUCUUAACCCAGGAUGCAUGAUGAAGGAUCCAAUAUGUCAGGACCAACGAGGGAAUUGCAAUAUGUCAGAACCAAUGAGAGAAUUGUAGAGCUUUACAUUAAGUUUAUUUUAGCUGCUUGCCCGCUUCAAGUGUCUAGAUUACAGGAAACAUGUUUCUUUAAGUGACAAACCUGGAUACCAAUUUAUUCAAACUAUUAUAUUUCUUAUAGAAGUAAUGCAAUAUAUUUUCUC
Molecule: long non-coding RNA, 2367 nt
Organism: Triticum aestivum (bread wheat)
Lineage: Eukaryota; Viridiplantae; Streptophyta; Magnoliopsida; Poales; Poaceae
Exons: 4
Source: RefSeq, a predicted model, not a curated record